Molecule: ribosomal RNA, 539 nt
Filed under: uncultured bacterium
Lineage: Bacteria
Description: bacterial SSU rRNA
Rfam family: Bacterial small subunit ribosomal RNA
Source: RNAcentral
AGGAAAUAGAUACCUGGGUAGUCCACGCCGUAAACGAUGAAUGCUAGACGUUGGGACCCCUAGGGUUUCAGUGUCGCCGCUAAACGCAUGAAGCAUUCCACCUGGGGAGUACGGCCGCAAGGUUAAAACUCAAAGGAAUUGACGGGGGCCCGGCACAAGCGGUGGAGCAUGUGGUUUAAUUCGACGCAACGCGCAGAACCUUACCAGCCCUUGACAUGGGACGUUUGGGCCUGAGAGAUCGGGUCCUUCAGUUCGGCUGGCGUCCACACAGGUGCUGCAUGGCUGUCGUCAGCUCGUGUCGUGAGAUGUUGGGUUAAGUCCCGCAACGAGCGCAACCCUCAUCCUCAGUUGCCAUCGGGUAGGGCCGGGCACUCUGAGGAAACUGCCGGUGACAAGCCGGAGGAAGGCGGGGAUGACGUCAAGUCCUCAUGGCCCUUACGGGCUGGGCUACACACGUGCUACAAUGGCGGUGACAGUAGGAUGCGAAGGGCGACCCGGAGCCAAUCCACGAAAAGCCGUCUCAGUUCGGAUUGUACUCU